Molecule: ribosomal RNA, 826 nt
Filed under: Arthrobacter sp.
Lineage: Bacteria; Bacillati; Actinomycetota; Actinomycetes; Micrococcales; Micrococcaceae
Description: bacterial SSU rRNA
Rfam family: Bacterial small subunit ribosomal RNA
Source: RNAcentral
GCGUGCUUAACACAUGCAAGUCGAACGAUGAUCUCCAGCUUGCUGGGGGGAUUAGUGGCGAACGGGUGAGUAACACGUGAGUAACCUGCCCUUGACUCUGGGAUAAGCCUGGGAAACUGGGUCUAAUACCGGAUACGACCGUCCCGCGCAUGCGGUGGUGGUGGAAAGCUUUUGCGGUUUUGGAUGGACUCGCGGCCUAUCAGCUUGUUGGUGGGGUAAUGGCCUACCAAGGCGACGACGGGUAGCCGGCCUGAGAGGGUGACCGGCCACACUGGGACUGAGACACGGCCCAGACUCCUACGGGAGGCAGCAGUGGGGAAUAUUGCACAAUGGGCGAAAGCCUGAUGCAGCGACGCCGCGUGAGGGAUGACGGCCUUCGGGUUGUAAACCUCUUUCAGUAGGGAAGAAGCGAAAGUGACGGUACCUGCAGAAGAAGCGCCGGCUAACUACGUGCCAGCAGCCGCGGUAAUACGUAGGGCGCAAGCGUUAUCCGGAAUUAUUGGGCGUAAAGAGCUCGUAGGCGGUUUGUCGCGUCUGCUGUGAAAGACCGGGGCUCAACUCCGGUUCUGCAGUGGGUACGGGCAGACUAGAGUGAUGUAGGGGAGACUGGAAUUCCUGGUGUAGCGGUGAAAUGCGCAGAUAUCAGGAGGAACACCGAUGGCGAAGGCAGGUCUCUGGGCAUUAACUGACGCUGAGGAGCGAAAGCAUGGGGAGCGAACAGGAUUAGAUACCCUGGUAGUCCAUGCCGUAAACGUUGGGCACUAGGUGUGGGGGACAUUCCACGUUUUCCGCGCCGUAGCUAACGCAUUAAGUGCCCCGCCUGGGG